RNAcentral lists this ribosomal RNA (483 nucleotides) under uncultured bacterium. RNAcentral describes it as "partial 16S ribosomal RNA". It matches the Rfam family "Bacterial small subunit ribosomal RNA", at positions 30 to 506 of the family's 1533-position model. The record is from RNAcentral.
AUUGAACGCUGGCGGCAGGCCUAACACAUGCAAGUCGAGCGGAUGAAGGGAGCUUGCUCCUGGAUUCAGCGGCGGACGGGUGAGUAAUGCCUAGGAAUCUGCCUGGUAGUGGGGGAUAACGUCCGGAAACGGGCGCUAAUACCGCAUACGUCCUGAGGGAGAAAGUGGGGGAUCUUCGGACCUCACGCUAUCAGAUGAGCCUAGGUCGGAUUAGCUAGUUGGUGGGGUAAAGGCCUACCAAGGCGACGAUCCGUAACUGGUCUGAGAGGAUGAUCAGUCACACUGGAACUGAGACACGGUCCAGACUCCUACGGGAGGCAGCAGUGGGGAAUAUUGGACAAUGGGCGAAAGCCUGAUCCAGCCAUGCCGCGUGUGUGAAGAAGGUCUUCGGAUUGUAAAGCACUUUAAGUUGGGAGGAAGGGCAGUAAGUUAAUACCUGGCUGUUUUGACGUUACCAACAGAAUAAGCGCCGGCUAACUUCGU